Small nuclear RNA from Mustela erminea (ermine), 104 nucleotides. The record is from RefSeq and is a predicted model, not a curated record. NCBI's taxonomy places the organism in Eukaryota, Metazoa, Chordata, Mammalia, Carnivora, Mustelidae.
ACUUGCUUUGGCAGGAUGUGUACUAAAAUCGCAACUAUACAGAGGAGAUGAGCAUGUCCCCGUGCAGGAAUAACAAGUAAAUCCAUGCUAUGUUUCACCAUUUU